Molecule: ribosomal RNA, 508 nt
Filed under: uncultured fungus
Lineage: Eukaryota; Fungi
Description: SSU rRNA
Rfam family: Eukaryotic small subunit ribosomal RNA
Source: RNAcentral
AGCAGCCGCGGUAAUUCCAGCUCCAAUAGCGUAUAUUAAAGUUGUUGCAGUCAAAAAGCUCGUAGUUGAAUUUCGGGGUCAGCAGGUUUGUCGUGCCUAUGGUAUGAACUGGCUUCGCUGGUCUCUCCUUUCUGAAGAACUGUAAUGCCAUUAAUUUGGUGUUGCAGGGACACAGGACUGUUACUUUGAAAAAAUUAGAGUGUUUAAAGCAGGCUAACGCUUGAAUACAUUAGCAUGGAAUAAUGAAAUAGGACGUUCGAACCUAUUUUGUUGGUUUCUAGGAUUGACGUAAUGAUUAAUAGGGAUAGUUGGGGGCAUUAGUAUUCAAUUGUCAGAGGUGAAAUUCUUGGAUUUAUUGAUGACUGACUACUGCGAAAGCAUUUGCCAAGGAUGUUUUCAUUAAUCAAGAACGAAAGUUAGGGGAUCGAAGACGAUCAGAUACCGUCGUAGUCUUAACCAUAAACUAUGCCGACUAGGGAUCGGAUGAUGUUAAUUUUUUAANGANUCA